Molecule: long non-coding RNA, 252 nt
Organism: Vombatus ursinus (common wombat)
Lineage: Eukaryota; Metazoa; Chordata; Mammalia; Diprotodontia; Vombatidae
Exons: 2
Source: RefSeq, a predicted model, not a curated record
GGAAGAGACAAAAUACAGAAGGCUGAAAUGAGGGAUGGUCAUUGCUGUUUCUGCUUAUCACCUUUCCCUGGAAGAGUCUGAUCUUAGAGUGCACAGCCACUGAAUGCAAGGCUGGCUCGCCCACACUGUUCUGUUACUGAAUCUCCUGUGGAGCCUGAGGGACCGUUCUUCCAUCCGAAACAAAUGGAAUGCAGUCGGAUCUGUCUGCACUCAUUUCAUUUUAAAAUGAAACAAAAUAAAACAUGAAUGGCA